UUUAUGACGACUGACUAAUUGAACAAAUCAAAUUAGCCCUAGCCCGGCCGAGCAUUUACGUUUGUCAUCACUAAAUCAUCGAGGGGCCCAAAGAUAUCGCUUUUAUCCUACUUUGGAUAAAAGGAACGGAUAAACUUUGAUACAAUGCUUGCUUGCACUCACUCACCGAAUCACACACAACAAUAUGUUUUAUAACACCAAGUUACUAGUGCGUUUACAUAUUAUCAAUGUGCAACCGAUUUGCAAGAUACAACUCACACAUCUCGGUUUCAAGAAUAUAAGAUGUUAUCGUCUCACCAAUCACUCGUGAUACAAUUCAUGGAGUGAUCCAAGUGAGCGUGGGUUUAAUCCAAUGCUCAAAUCAUAUUCAUAAGCACUCAUGAACGUUGCAACAAACAUUUGCUUAUGUCUAAUACUCUUUUAGACAAUCCACACACCAAUUCACGACAGUCUUCAUUCAUAUCUACUUCCAACAUAUGAACGACUGUGGCCCGUUUGAAUAAUUCGAUUAUUCUUAAUAAACUCAAUUAUUCUGGAAGUCAAAACAUGCAAUGUGAAACACAAGAAUAAUACUAAUCCCAUAUGGCCUCAAACCUUUGAGUAUAAAUAAAACACCUUUUAUUUAUCACCAUAUCGAUUACUCAUUAUUUGUCGUUUCGGGUAAUCAACUUCUUACUUGAAUUACAACACUUGUCCCAUGCUCCUAGCAUGCACACAAUGUUUACCUAUGGUUCUUACUUUGUGAAAUAGAUCACAUUGAACACAUUUCCAAUCAUUCUCAUUUCACAACUCCAAAUCCUUUUUCCAUAAGUGAAAGAAUAUCAAAUUCUUGCUACUUAUAGAAUAUGCUAGAUUCUAACAUUCUAUGCAAUGAUCCUUUCGUAAUGUCACUGCACCAAAGUCACAAAGACUAUUGCCAAUGAUAUUACAAAGUCCUCUAUCGGAGAUUGUUACAAGACAAUUCCUUAGAUAUGAUGUCUCUCACUCAAAGUACAUUCCUUUGAACAUCCUUUUGCAUAAAAGUUUCUAAUCUAGACAUAGAUUUUCAAUAUUCAAUUCCCAAUAUGGACACGCUUCCAUAUUUUCCAUAUGACAACUCAUUCUUAAUAGAAUCUUAUCUAUUCGUAAUGAUGUCGAUAUGGUCCAUCCAAUAUGGAAACAUUUCCAUAAUUUCCAUAUGACAACUCAUUCUUAAUAGAAUCUUUUCUAUUCAUAAUAAUGUCGAUAUGGUCCAUCCAAUACCAUGCUUCCAACUACUCACAAGCGACCAAUCCUCGUCGAACUUUGGAUUGUCCUUUGAUAGUUGUUUAAUUAUUUUAGUCAAAACCAAUUCUAGUCCCUUUUCCCUCUAAAUGCGCUCGACAUUUGGAAAAUUUUAGAAUGGUCAAACAUUAAAGCAUUUGCAAUCGAUCCUAUACCCGAAGCGUAUGGGACACGACGCAUAAUGUUUUAUUUGCUAUGUUCUCAAAAUUCGAAUUGUGAAGAGGAAUGUCGUAAUCAUAAUCGAAAUUUUAAGAACACACUAUGUACCUUUGACUAAAUUUAUUAACAUUUCUCAACCUAAGCCUUUAGAUUUGAAAUGAAGCAUAAUAUUCUCUCCCUUAAUUAUAGCAAAACAACUUUACAACCCUUACGACUUUGCAAGGUAUAACUCUUGUUUUCUAUAAUUAAUAUUGCCAACUUGCAAUACGUGCCUUAAUAAUCAUACAAUCAUAACAUUUAUGCUCCCACUAUCAUGAUGAUUAUUAUAAAACAUAACACUUAUGCUCCCACUAGCUUCGACAUGUAUUCAUAAACAUCUUAACUUUCAGAAAAACAAUGCUUAUUGAAUUUCUUAAGUUCAUGUUUCUAAUACUUAGUGCUUUGAUAAUCUUUUAUCAAGGCUUCUUGAACUUAUACACCUUUGCCUUCGAUAGUUCAUAUGUGUGUCUAAACAAUUAAGACUAAUUGCCAAACCUCACAAUUCAAAUUAUGGAAAGGGAUACCGUAACCAUAAUCGAAUUCGAGAAUGCAAUUUUACAAUCACUAUCUUCUUAAAAUCUUUCUUAGUGAAAGCAUUUCCUCACAAUCAUUUUCAUGAAGGAGGAAAUCUUAUGACACUUAGAUUUAAACGGUGUAUGUGUUCCUAUCCAUGUGAAUUUGUUAAAACCAAAGUUUACGACAAAUUCAAACUCAUAUGGACCGAACUUUCUUAAUCUUGAUUUCUUGCCUUAUGGUAGCACAGCUGCCCACCAUGUCUUCCAAGUAGUUAAGCAGCUCACCUUUUCUUAUCAAUGUACUUUCCAUUGAUCAAGGUCCUUGCCUUUUAUGCAUUCAAAUGAGAACUCAUAGGACUCACAUGCAUAAUUAACUCGAUUGGAUUGGCACAGAAACAAAAUAAUGUCAACACGAUAGGUUGUAAACCUCAACUCGUGUGCUAGUGAUGAUCGAUAAGGUUUAUUUGAUUUGUUCUUGAAACCUUUCAAGACCAUUAAGACUCCCACUGACUCCUUGACAUAUAAGAUUCUCUUGUCAAAAAACAUUUCUUGACAAACAAAUAUUCAAGAGUUAGUGUAGCUUUUAUCAAAACUCUUCAUAAAUUGGUCCUAGUUGGUCUUUGUCUUAUCCAAGACAUCACAACUUUCCACAUUUGAUGAAUGUUAUAAACCUUCUUAAUACUUUUCACUCAAUGUCACAAUCUUAACUCUAAGACUUGUUUUGGAACGAAGUAUGAUUGACUUCUUGAUUUAACCAUUUCUUCAAUUCUUGAUUCCUCUUCUUAGACAUACAAUUGUACUAAGACUCACUUAGAGGAUCAAUUGAGAUAUGGUUCUUAAUCAUUAAGACCUAUCAUAAAGCAUAAAAGCUACUCUCCCUUCUUCUUAGAAUGGAGAAACUUUUAUCUUUCUGCCUACUUGAUUCUUCUUAUUCGUUCUGCUAUUGAUUUAAACUUUUUCAAUCAAUUCAGAAUUACACUUAAUCUUGUAAGUAUAAUCAUAUUUACUAAACCUUUAGUAAAUCAUGACGAAUAUCUUUGUUACUCUUAUGGUGGACUUGAUCAACACGCAACUUUGUGUACUCGAUCUCCUAGUCCUUCACUUGACACUUUGUCAAUGAAUUAGUCUAAUUUCCAAAUAUGAAAUUUCUCAUUCAUCGUGCAACCAAGUUGCAUGAUUCCAAGUUUCUGUCCAAUUGAAACUUGGGCGAUGAGAAACUCUCCCUAUUUGGUAAACUCUCGACUUUCCAUAAAUAACAUAAUAAGAACCAAAUCCAUUAUUGCUAAUAAUAGAAACAUUCAAACAUCAAUUUUUCAUAUACGCCAUUGCAAGGAUAAAUAAAUAAUAUAAAAUCAAAAUUUAUUUUAUUGCGGAAAAAAUUUGUCCUUACAAUGCAAUUCAUUGAAAAACUAUGCUAAUACAUCUUUCUUAGCAAUCUAAUUCUAACUCUAAGUAGUAGCUCAAGAAUCUAAUCUUCGAGAAAUGCGAUCGAAAUCCAUUCCUUCACGGUUAGAUUCUGCUCACUUCUUCCCUUAAGCUUCCUUUCUUUUCUUCGAUCCUACAAAACAUCAAUUGUAAUCUUAUCACAUUAUGUAUUAAGAAUCUAGAAUAGAAGCUUAAAAGAGUUAGUUAAUGGAUUUUACCUAUAUUAGAGCCAUACGUUUCGACUCUCCCAUCUCUUAGAUCUCUUAGGUAAAUGGGGCAGCUUCGUCUCCAAUGCCCUUUCUCUUGGCAAUAAAAGCAAAUUGACUCUUUUGGAACAUGACAUGGAACUACUUCAGACAUUGCCUUUCUCUUAUGAUCAAACUUUUCGAUCAUAGCAUGUCUUUCGUUGCCAUUGUCUAUAUCCAUAGAGGUCUUGAAGGCAGAUUCACCAAUCAACUUUGCUUUUCUAUUGCGCCAAACCAUUGCUGAUUCAGCAGCAAUAAGCAUAUAGGUGAGAUCUAUAAGGGUCACGUCGCGGUUCAUCAUAUAGUACUCUCUUACGAACUCACUAUAUGAGUUAGGAAGUGACUGAAGAACCCAAUCAACAGCCAUUUCCUCACAGACAACGGAUCCCAACAUUCUUAACCUAUCAAUGUGUGACUUCAUCCCUAGGACGUGUGCACACACCGACUUUCCUUCUUUAUGUUUACUUGCCAAAAGGGCUUGAGUGAUCUUGAACUUUUCAAGCCUUUGAACUUGUGGGUUAGGGAGAAUAAUUGGAGGAGGAGGAGGAAGUGAAGCAUGAUUUCUUGUUCCUCGAUCGAAUCGUGGAAUAUCAUCUUCAUGUGGAAUGCUUGUUCCACGGGAUUUGGGAAGACCAUAGUUGUCGAACUUUGACAUCUACAAAACGGGAGAAAACGAAUUCAAGUUAGUUGAUUGAUUGAGUCCUUAGUAAAUCACCCAAAUGAGAUACUAAGGCUAGGACCCAACACAAUAUUCUACAACUCGGGAGAGGGAUGCCGUAACCCUAAUUGCAGAAUAUUUGAAGGUAAGUGAAUGACGAUUCACUAAUUUCCACCAUGAAAAACGAAAAAGAAAUUUAAGUUUUAAAUCUAUGAAAACUCCUAGAUCCUUUGAGAUUCAUUGAACUUUCAAUGGCAUGUUUAAAUCUCGAUAUGCCCCUCUUGUUUGUGACUGGGAUGCCGAGGAUCACAAAGCGGGUGUGAAUAACCAUGCAAACUUACAUGGUGCCCUCACAUGUUACAGUCACCUAUUCGAUGUGCCGGUAAACCACACACGCUCCACCGAACUAUGACAAACAUUGAGUCACCCUUUGCUACCUUUGCUUAGAACCAUUUAGUGUGCCGGUAAACCACACACGCUCCACUAACGUCUUCGCAAGGGCACAAAGUGUAAUUUCAUGGAAUUGCAUCAAUUCACUUUUGCCUAAGUAACUAAGAUUGGGAAUUUUAUGAAAACAUUUAGUUACUUUAAUAAUUCAUUAUACUUAUAAUGGAAGGUUUCGUCCUAUCCUACCCGUUCGGCUAACGACCCUCCACUAGUCAAGAGUGCGGUGGGUAAGAGUGGAUACCCAUUCAAUCGCCAUUUUAUAGGCAAUUUCCUUAAACACCCCUUAUAGACCAGCUUCGUGAAUGAGGCCUACUAACGGUAAGACUGACUUUUACUCAUACAUAUAUAUAAUGUUAGACUUUUAAUGUUAUAUAUAGUAUAGGGUGUAUUUUACACUUUUAAAAUAUUAGGUGGUCAAAUUUAACAAUUAUACUUUUAAUUCAAUUAAAUUGUAAACCAAAACUUUUAUGGAUUUAUUAAACCUCUUUUAAUUAUACACCUUAAUUAAUUAAUAAAACCAUAAGGGUGUGAUUUGAACUUUUUCAAAACAAUACUAGGGUUUUAGAAUUUAACAUUCCUAAUUAAACUUUUAAUCAACUUUUAAAUUCCAAAACUUGAGGGCAAGUUUUGAAACAUUUCAAAACAUUAGGGUUUAGAAUUUAAAUAUACAUCAAAAUUAAACUAUUAAUCAAAAUUUAAAUUCCAAAACUUGAGGGCAAGUUUUGAAACCUUUUUCAAAACAUUAGGGUUUCAACUAUUUAAAUUUCAAAACAACAAAACUUUUGAGGUCAAAUUUAAACUAUAAAACCUAAAGGGGAAAAUAUGAAACAUUUCAUAACAUAAGGAUCAAAUAACAAAUAAUCUAAAUUAACAUUUAAUCACAUAAUUAUCCAUAUUUGAUUUAUUUAAUGAUUUCUUGCAAAACAAUUUACCAAUUUAAUCAAAAUAAUUAAUCAAUUAUCACAUAAGGAAACAAAUAUUUUAUUAAUUGAUAAAUAUCUUCAAUUAGAUCAAGAAUAUAGUCAUAUAUAUCAAAAAAUCGGAUUUAUAUUGAUCUAAUAUGAUAAGGCAAGUAUCCUCAAGCAAAAACAGCAAGAAAUCCCGGUUUUCCCUCAUUCUGACCAGCCGACUCGUCGAGUCAGGCAUGGACUCGUCGAGUCAGCAUGGACUCGGCGAGUUCAUCUAGAGACUCGGCGAGUUCAGCAAGCAGAACCACAAAAAACGAAUUUUUUCAACAUACAAGGCAUCAAUACAAUAGAAACCAAUCUAGGCUCUGAUACCACUGAUGGGUUUUGGUCAUAAGAACAUCCUAUGUGCUCAUACAAACCCUAAUGCUUGGAUCUAGGUUUCUCUAUUGUACAUGCAAUUUAUCCAAGACUAUAAACCCUAGAUCUAGCAUAUGAUAAUCAAUAUAACAAUUAAUUAGGGUUUAGAUCAUACCUUGAUUGUUAUGUAGCAAUAACAAUCUCAAAUCCUCCUUGUAAUGACUUUAGAAAGCUUAGAGUCACAAAUGUCACUCCUCUAAUGGUUCACAAACACCAAGAGCAAGAGGAUGAAGAAGAGAAGAGAAGGAGGCUGCCCAAAACGUGUGGAAACCCUAGAGAACAAGUUCACCACGUUUUUGGGGCUUAAGGGUUCUUUAAAUAGUGAGGCUAUUAGGGUUAUCUAACAAGGAAACCCUAAUUUGGAUGCUUAAGCCCUAAGCAACCCAUGGAGCCCUUUCCUUAAGGCCUUGGACGAUUUCAUAUGGGCUUCCCCCAUAGAAUUCGUCCACCUUAUAAUAUAAGGCAAUCCAUGGCCCCAAUUGCAAUUAUCUUAUAAUUACAAUUCCAGUCCCUUAAGUUUAAUUAAUCUCUUUUAGUCACAAAACUAAUUACCAAUUAAUUCUUGACUAAUAUUAAUUAAACAAUAUGAUUUCUCCUUUAAUAUAUUAUUCUCAUAAUAUAUUAAUAAAUCAUAUUUAAUCCUUUCUCUCCAUAAUUCAUCCUAUCAAGUUGCUUUGGUGAAGGCAACCCAAAAGGACCAUGCACCAUCGGGUCAAGUACAUACCAAAAUAGUUAUGGACUUAGACACUAAUCCAACAGUCUCCCACUUGGAUAAGUCUAAUAACUAUUCUGCGUAUGACUUCAGAUCCUGAUCUGCAAUCGUAGCUUUCAAAAGCCGCUGUCAACUCUGAUCUUAUCAGAAGCGUGUCCUUUAGAUAAGGGAUCAUAUAUUCCUCCAUUCUAGAUAUCGUAUAGACUGAGACAUGGAUUUAAAUCAUUCUCUCUGUCUAUGUGUUGUUUCCCGAUUUCCGAUUUAUGACGACUGACAACAGACUACAAUUGAACACAUCAAAUUAGUCCCGGCUUGGCCAAGCGCUUAGGUGUCAUCACUAAAUCAUCGAGGGGCCCACAGAUAUCGCUUUCAUCCUACUUUGGAUAAAAGGAACGGAUAAACUUUGAUUCAAUGCUUGCUUGCACUCACUCACCGAAUCACACACAACAAUAUGUUUUAUGACACCAAGUUACUGGUGCGUUUACAUAUUAUCAAUGUGUAACCGACUCGCAAGAUACAACUCACACAUCUCGGUUUCAAGAAUAUAAGAUAUUAUCGUCUCACCAAUCACUCGUGAUAAAAUCCAUGAAGUGAUCCAAGUGAGCGUGGGUUUAAUCCAAUGCUCAAAUCAUAUUCAUAAGCACUCAUGAACGUUGCAGCAAACAUUUGCUUAUGUCUAAUACACUUUAGACAAUCCACACACCAAUUCACGACAGUCUUCAUUCAUACCUACUUCCAACAUAUGAAC
Molecule: long non-coding RNA, 7536 nt
Filed under: Lactuca sativa (garden lettuce)
Lineage: Eukaryota; Viridiplantae; Streptophyta; Magnoliopsida; Asterales; Asteraceae
Description: long non-coding RNA (LSAT_LNC006788)
Source: RNAcentral